UACAGAGGGGGCAAGCGUUAUUCGGAAUUACUGGGCGUAAAGGGCGCGUAGGCGGCCUGUUAAGUCGAACGUGAAAUCCCCGGGCUCAACCCGGGAACUGCGUCCGAUACUGGCAGGCUUGAAUCCGGGAGAGGGAUGUGGAAUUCCAGGUGUAGCGGUGAAAUGCGUAGAUAUCUGGAGGAACACCGGUGGCGAAGGCGGCAUCCUGGACCGGUAUUGACGCUGAUGCGCGAAAGCGUGGGGAGCGAUCCGG
Molecule: ribosomal RNA, 253 nt
Filed under: uncultured bacterium
Lineage: Bacteria
Description: partial 16S ribosomal RNA
Rfam family: Bacterial small subunit ribosomal RNA
Source: RNAcentral